This 251-nucleotide ribosomal RNA is filed under the name uncultured bacterium. RNAcentral's name for it is "partial 16S ribosomal RNA". It matches the Rfam family "Bacterial small subunit ribosomal RNA", at positions 334 to 582 of the family's 1533-position model. The record is from RNAcentral.
UUUUCCUACGGGACGCAGCAGUGAGGAAUAUUGGUCAAUGGACGCAAGUCUGAACCAGCCAUGCCGCGUGCAGGAAAACGGCUCUAUGAGUUGUAAACUUCUUUUGUACGAGGGUAAAUGCAGGUACGUGUAUCUGUUUGAAAGUAUCGUACGAAUAAGGAUCGGCUAACUCCGUGCCAGCAGCCGCGGUAAUACGGAGGAUCCACUCGUUAUCCGGCUUUAUUGGGUUUAAAGUGUGCGUAGGCGGUUUU